Molecule: non-coding RNA, 164 nt
Filed under: Blautia schinkii
Lineage: Bacteria; Bacillati; Bacillota; Clostridia; Lachnospirales; Lachnospiraceae
Description: Lysine riboswitch
Rfam family: Lysine riboswitch aptamer
About the family: Riboswitches are metabolite binding domains within certain messenger RNAs that serve as precision sensors for their corresponding targets. Allosteric rearrangement of mRNA structure is mediated by ligand binding, and this results in modulation of gene expression.
Source: RNAcentral
GAAGAUAGAGGCGCGGAUUUUAUCAGUACUUACGGACAUGAAGCCCUGGCAGGCUGUCCAUGAAGAAAGGAAAAUCCGCCGAAGUGCUCUGAACAGCCAGAGGUCAGGGUGCUGGGACGACGCAGAAUAUGCGGCGUACUGUCACGGGUGUGGAGCGCUAUCUA